CGAGUGGCGAACGGGUGAGUAACACGUGGGUGAUCUGCCCUGCACUCUGGGAUAAGCCUGGGAAACUGGGUCUAAUACCGGAUAUGAGCUCCUGUCGCAUGGCGGGGGUUGGAAAGGUUUACUGGUGCAGGAUGGGCCCGCGGCCUAUCAGCUUGUUGGUGGGGUAAUGGCCUACCAAGGCGACGACGGGUAGCCGGCCUGAGAGGGCGACCGGCCACACUGGGACUGAGACACGGCCCAGACUCCUACGGGAGGCAGCAGUGGGGAAUAUUGCACAAUGGGCGAAAGCCUGAUGCAGCGACGCCGCGUGAGGGAUGACGGCCUUCGGGUUGUAAACCUCUUUCAGCAGGGACGAAGCGAGAGUGACGGUACCUGCAGAAGAAGCACCGGCCAACUACGUGCCAGCAGCCGCGGUAAUACGUAGGGUGCGAGCGUUGUCCGGAAUUACUGGGCGUAAAGAGCUCGUAGGCGGUUUGUCGCGUCGUCCGUGAAAACUUGGGGCUCAACCCCAAGCUUGCGGGCGAUACGGGCAGACUUGAGUACUGCAGGGGAGACUGGAAUUCCUGGUGUAGCGGUGAAAUGCGCAGAUAUCAGGAGGAACACCGGUGGCGAAGGCGGGUCUCUGGGCAGUAACUGACGCU
RNAcentral lists this ribosomal RNA (641 nucleotides) under Rhodococcus sp. I15A-00854. RNAcentral's name for it is "bacterial SSU rRNA". It matches the Rfam family "Bacterial small subunit ribosomal RNA", at positions 92 to 747 of the family's 1533-position model. The record is from RNAcentral. Lineage: Bacteria; Bacillati; Actinomycetota; Actinomycetes; Mycobacteriales; Nocardiaceae.